AUGGCUAGGUCGAACAGGUCUUCUUCUAGUGCCUCCGUAGAAAACAAUGGAUCAACUCAGUCAACUGCACAGGCUAAAAAGCCUAGAACACCAAGAACUAGGACUCCAGCCGGUCUCAGACUAGAGGAAAUUGACCGACCGCUUAUAGUUCCCGUUGGCAUGGCAUGGGAAAGGCACCCAUACAACGCUCGUGAUCCAUCAACGGUGCUAGGUGCCUUAGUGCGCCAGAUGUAUCCACCGCCAAUUGGUCCAAAAAAUGAUCAGAAACCGGUAUUGUGUUGGGAGGACUACAAGUGGUCCCCUGGUCCAGAAGUAAGAACAGCAGCUUCCAAAAUAGUGGAAGAAUUUUGGUGGCGUUUCAAGUGCGACCCAUCGGAGCAAGAGAAGGCAGAUGGUGUUUUGGAGGAGAACUUAACUAGGAAAAAACUCAAAACUGGGAAAGACCCUAGAAUUUCUGGUGCUUGGCUUCACACGCACAAAUUGCAUCGAGGGACUGAUGAAGAGCAGAUAUGCAGUCAAAGAACUGCUGAUCAUUGGGAGGAUUUUGAUAAGGCAAUGAAAAAUGCCCAUGGAGAAAAUUGGGAAGAGGAGCACCCGGAUUUAGAUGGACAGAUCAUGUAUGAAGCAGCAGGCAGAAUGCCACAUGGCAGGCUGGGAAUUGCUAAUGAGUUGUUUAGCAAACCAGAGAAGGCGAAGUUUAAGUCUAAAAGGGCGAUGGCCUCACAGCCGGUGCAGUCUGCUAAGGAGGAGCGUCUAGAAAGAGAAAACAAACAUUUGAAGCAGGAGAUCAAGCGUCUUCGAGGCAUUGAGCUUGUUGUUCAGUCUUUGGCUGAGAAAGGGGGAGUCGACUUUGAUGGCAUAAUGCAAUCAGCAGCAGAUGACUUGUCUCCAUCAUAUUCUGAAGGCGGAUUUCAAAGGGGACGAGGUGAUGUGCCUCAACACCAAACCGAAAAGGGAAUGGGAAGCAGGACUGGAGGCAGUACGAGUCAUGGAAAUGAUGAUGAAGAUGACUACUAUGGCAAUGGGGGAUAUGAUAACUAUGGCGAGGGUGAUCUGUAUGGUGAUGAGCACUAUGAUCACUAUGGCCAUGGGGAAUAUGAUGACUACGGAGAUGAGGAUGACUAUGGCUAUGGCGGUGGCGAUGAUGAUGAUUGGCUAUAA
Molecule: ribosomal RNA, 1161 nt
Filed under: Triticum aestivum (bread wheat)
Lineage: Eukaryota; Viridiplantae; Streptophyta; Magnoliopsida; Poales; Poaceae
Description: partial small subunit ribosomal RNA
Source: RNAcentral